CUCUGGAUGCAGGGGAUGGAACAGAACAGAGACACGGACUCUGUCAACAGCGAUGCUCCCCAAGCGAGCAGAGGCAGAGCAGCGAAGCCCGCCUCGCAAUCUCCGCUACCCCCAUCGAAGUUGCCACACGCCACCGCAUCUCCCUCCACUCCGCUCCCACUCCCCCGCCACCGCCAUGGCCGCCGCCGCCGCAGCGCCCUCCCUCCUGCACCCACCGGCGGCCCGCAAGGCCCCCACACCUUCUCCCUCUCCUUACCCUUCCCCAUUCCUCCGCCUCCCGGCCCCCGCGCACCCGCGCCUCCCGCUCCGCCUCCGCUCCACCUCCCCGGCCGCCGCCUCCGACCUCACCGACUUCCCCAACCCGAACGGCAUCCUCGCGCCCAUCGACGUGGACGCCGCCACGGAGGCGGAGCUUCGCGAGAACGGGUUCCGGAGCACGCGCCGCACCAAGCUCGUCUGCACCGUGGGCCCGGUCACCUCGUCGCCCGAGCAGCUCGAGGCGCUCGCCGUCGGCGGGAUGAACGUCGCCCGCCUAAACAUGUGCCACGGGGACCGGGAGUGGCACCGGGGCGCCAUCCGGGCAGUCAGGAGGCUAAACGAGGAGAAGGGCUACGCCGUCGCCGUCAUGAUGGACACCGAGGGCAGCGAGAUCCACAUGGGGGACCUCGGCGGCGCCUCAUCGGCCAAGGCGGAGGAUGGAGAAGUCUGGACAUUUAGUGUUAGGUCAUUUGAAUUGCCUCUCCCAGAACGAACUAUUAAUGUGAAUUAUGACGGGUUUGCUGAAGAUGUGAGAGUUGGUGAUGAGCUUCUUGUGGAUGGUGGAAUGGCUCGGUUUGAGGUGAUUGAGAAGUUGGGACCAGAUGUUAAGUGUCGCUGCACAGAUCCUGGUUUAUUGUUGCCACGUGUGAAUCUUACAUUCUGGCGUGAUGGCAGUAUUGUCCGUGAGAGGAAUGCUAUGCUUCCUACAAUUUCAUCAAAGCUUGCCGGAGGCCCUUGACGCAGCGCUGCCAUCCGCAAGCCCUAACGCCGCCGACGCGCCCCUCUCCUCGGUUGAUUUGGGAAGGCGCGGGACUGAGGCAGGGAGAUUGGGAAGCAGAGCUUCCUGUUCCUCGUCUGCUACUCUGCUUCAAUUGGGCACCGGGAAAAGCGAUGCUGCCGGGUGCUCGGGUUCUUGGAGAGGGGAUGGAAUGGAAUGAUGGAUCGAUGCGGGAUGCGUUGCUGUUGCUAGCGGCUUCUGAUUGGAGAGAGGAGAGAAGCUGGUUGCUUGUGUUACCGUGAACGUGAAGGAAAACAGAGUAGGGAGGAGAGCAAGCUGCUGGUGCAGGAGCAUCAUGGCUACGGCAAUGGCAGCGCCUCUCUCCAGGUCAUCCCCGAGCUUCAUGUCAAGAGCGUUGGAAACAACCUGGGAGAACCUACAUCCUUGUAAUCCUUCUUCAUGAUGAGGAAUCAGUCAGGGACCAUGAACUGGCGAGGGUUAGGAACCACAUUCUUGAGGCGCUCAAGCUCAUCUGGGGACACCUCACGAGCUCUGCACAAAAAUAUUAUCAUCAGAGCUAAACUUCAUGCAAUGGGGCAUUCUAGCUGUAGCAUACAACAACCUACUGGCCCAGUUUGUUAUUGCGGCACAUGGAAAAUUAGUGGGAAAGUGGUGCGAUGCACCCAUCUCAAAUCUCCAACUUCAAAAAACAUGAAUGCCAAAGACUUCUGCAUAGGCUGUCUUUAGAUGGCAGAUGUUUUUUAAAACACGUUUUCCAAUGGGCUUCACUCUCAAGUAGAUUCAGAAAAGCUAAUUGAUGAUCGGCACCAAGCCACAGAUGACUGCCACUAAUGAACAGUCAGUAGAUAAUUUCUGCAUUGUUGC
Setaria italica (foxtail millet) is the source of this 1861-nucleotide RNA transcript. It is a transcript of the gene named pyruvate kinase isozyme A, chloroplastic, with no coding region annotated. Lineage: Eukaryota; Viridiplantae; Streptophyta; Magnoliopsida; Poales; Poaceae. The record is from RefSeq and is a predicted model, not a curated record. The transcript is spliced from 5 exons.